Molecule: long non-coding RNA, 8274 nt
Filed under: Ananas comosus (pineapple)
Lineage: Eukaryota; Viridiplantae; Streptophyta; Magnoliopsida; Poales; Bromeliaceae
Description: long non-coding RNA (ACOM_LNC041972)
Source: RNAcentral
UAGGUCUCAGCAUGCCGAAGGCCGUGCUCACCUUUCGGAGCACUGCCGGCCACUGUGGCACGCGUACGAGCGACGCGAAAGUCUGCGAAAUAGCACACACAGUGCUUAAAUCGCAGUUAACUCGCUAACCAGGGCAUCUAUAACCCUAAUGGAGAUGAGCACAGUGUUCAGCACGAAUCCACGAUCAUCGUGCCCACCUCCAUGGGUGUCGGGGUGUCUUCGGAUCGCCGGAACAGUGAAUGGAAACUCAAACUAUAAUGCUGGAACGUAAAAACAGCAUACCGAAGCUGGGGAGAGUUAGGGUUGGCCUCCGGCGGCCGGACGGCGAGCGCUCCGACCGGGAAUGGGAGCGGUAGGUCCGAGAGGUCCGGGGAGGGUGCUGGCCGGCUGCGGGCGGCAACCGGCGGCGCGGCGGCGGAGAUCAACUCCACCAAGCUACUCUCGGGUUCAACGUCCACGGCGUCCACGCGAUGGCCGGAGAAGCUUGGGAUGGCGACGACCCGUCGCCGGAGGCCGAUGGGAAGGCGGCGCGCACGGUACACGGCGGCGGCCCACGAAGGCAAUGCAGGUCCAAGCUUGGCCCGCACGCACUCCAGAUGGCCGCAGAGAGAUCCGGCGGUGGCCGGCGGCACGCGGGGACUGUGAGGAGGCGCGCGGGAGGUCGCCGGAGGUCAUUGGAGGGCGGCGCGGCCGAUAGGGAGCGGCGGCAGUGCACGGGAGCAGAGAUCACCCCGGCUCGGCCUGGGUGACUGCCGCCGGCCGCAGGGAGCUCGGGCAGCCCCGGCGAGGUGCGGGGACGGCGGAGGCCGGCAGGAACUACGCCGGGAAUGGGUCUCUGCCCAGGAAAGCUUCCAGGGAGGGUUUGUGGCAGUUUCCCAAGCAGCUUCGGCAGAGAGAAGAGGGUGGCCGAGAGGGGAGGAGAGGAAGAUGAUGAUGGGCCUUCUGGCGGCUGGAGCCGUUCGCCGGACGUCGAGGCACAUGCACAGGCAGGGCAGGGAUGAUGGUAGGGCGGCUAGGGUUUGCUGAGUGAACUUGGGCAGCAAAAGGACCAAGGAAAACCCUAGUGGCCACCUUUAUACUAGGUGCCAUUUUGCAAGAAACCCCUUCAAGGUCAACUAUUUACAGCUAGGUCCCCUGCUAGCACGUGUAUUAUGCGCCUAAGUCCCCCGACGUUCGAAUUCGCGCAAAACGGCGCAUAAAAUAUUGUAAAUUUUCGCGAUUUAACCAUUUUACCCAUUUGACCUCUUAGCGAACAUCUUGCUUUUUCCGAAGAUCCGUCCGUCGGAUUUCCGAUCGGAUCACGCCAGCACGUUCAGCACGACUGGGGCAUCUAAUCUAGCAUUUCAUUUCAUCCGAAUUGAUCUCCGAUUCACGACAAAACCCACCCUCAUUGUUUCCACCACAUAACCACAUAUAUUUAUAUAUGUAAAACCGAUCAAACCCCUUUUUCUUGACAACCGAGCAUCAGAACCCAAUUCCGUCAGUACCAUUGGGUUCAGAAUAGUCGAGCCAUUCGAAACGAGCUAUUGGAGUCCUAUGUUCAGAGUCCAAUACGCACCAGAACCCUUCUCUACUCACUGGCUCAUCCGAAAAGCCGGAGUUACUAUUCACUUUAAGUUAUCGGUCUUGGUCGCGUAAUUUCUCCAUUCUAGCUCAUUUUCUCCUGAAACUUGACGAGUGCUUAUGUAAUUAAAUUACACACUGAAAUAUCGUCAACAGAGAGUUUAACUGCACUGCCAAAAUCUCAGUCCUUACAGGGAUAGUCGGCGUGGUUAGUUGCCGAACCCACUGGGAACUUUGUUGUAGUUCUCACACCCCUAUUUUCACAGAGCCGGGACCGAGCGAGCCGGUUGAUGAUCGCGGUAAGGGCAUUGUGCCCUAGAUAGUGACCGCCCAUGAUGGUUUCAUAUUUUGUAGUUGCAUUCCCUUUACUAUCAUCUUUUGUAUUUGAUGAUUUUAGUAUCAUGAACAUGUUUAAAUGAAUGAUGUAAAGGAUAUUUAUUUGAAAUGUCAAAAGUUAUAUUUUGGGAGAAAUGAGAUGUAAAAAGAAAUGAUGCAAGAAUGUGAAAGAACUUGAUUAUAGUUGGAUGCAUGUAUGUGAUUUAAAUUUAGUCAUAUUACUUGUAUGUUGAGCCUUGGGCGGACAGGGGAAGCUCUGUCCGUUCGGCGUCUGUUUGACGCUCUCGAACCGGCCAAAAGGAUCGGGCUCGGGGCGUGACACUAUGAUUGCUAAUACUAGGGCUACUACUACUUCUAACUAGGGGUGGAACUGGGCCUGGGCCUAAACAAGGCCCGGCCCGAUGGGUCAUGUUUCGGCCUGGCUUUGGGUAUUAGAAAUAUAAUUUUGGAUUCGGGCCGGGCUUAAAAAUUUACGCCCGAAAAAAUUUUAGGCCUAUUUGGGCAUGUCCAAGCCCGGCCCGAGCCUGACCCAAAAGCCCGAUAUAUUAAUUAUCAAAAUAAAAAUAUUUAAUUAUAUAUAUAUAUAUAUAUAUAUAUAUAUAUAUAUAUAUAUAUAUAUAUAUAUAUAUAUAUAUAUAUAUAUAUAUAUAAUAUUUAUCUAUAAAAAGAAUAAAUGAUAUAGUAUAUCAUAUAUAGUAUAUAUUGUUAUAAAUGAUAUUUAUUUAUAUAUAUGAGGAUAUAUUAUAUACUAACAAAAUAUUUAGUCCCAUAUUACGAUAUAUUAAUUGUAUUAUUAUAUAUAAUUAAUUAAUUAUACAUAUCUAUAAAGAAAUAUAUGGUACAUAUUAUUAUAUAUAGCUAAUUAGUUAUAUGAUAAAUGCAUAAAAUGGGCCUCCACAAAGCCCGAUGGGUAUUGGGCAUUGGGUUUGGUCUUGGGCCGGGCCUUAAUUUUCAAAAAUAAUUAGGUAAAAGCCGGACCCGAAGCCCAGCAUUUUCUUUUGGGCCGGGCUUGGGCAUAGUAUAACCCCACCCAAGCCCGACCCAGUUCCACCCCUACUUCUAACACUAAAGGAUGUUGCUGCCUCUUUUUCUGCUGCACCUACUUUUUUUGUUCUUCUUAUGCAUCUAUUGCUAUUGGUUCCCUAUGUAGCUUGAAGCAUAUAUUCUUGGGCAUUAAUAUGUGCUUUCUGUUACCGACCAUCCCUAGAGCAAGUGGCAAAGGGCUUGGUGGUUGGUACCCGAGACUCAAGGUCGAAUUCUAGUUGAUUCACAUUUCUAGCUAAGUUUAUUUCUAAAUGAAAUAAACGAAACGGGUAGCGUGCUACCUAUCUCUCUACAAAUUUCAACUAGUAGUGUUAUGUACUAACCUUUUUUUUCGUUCAAUCAAAUCUCGAAGUUUGAUAUUGGUCAUUUUGAUUUCAUCAUAAUUGACAAUAUUACAAAUAACUUUAUUGUUUAUCUUAUAAAUAUGGCAUUACAAUACUCAAAAAUUUUAUAAUCUAAUUUUCAAUAAAAUUGCUAUAACUUUUUCUGCUUUUAUAUUCACCUUUCUUCCUUGUUUGUUUCUACUGCAUAUCGAAUUAUGUUGGUAUGCUUACGCUAUUGUUUGGUAUUUUAUUUCUAUUUAAUGGUUUACUAUUGUUUCUGCUACUCUUGCUCCUUUUUCUUCUUUUUCUUCCUUUUGUUAUAGUUAUAGUUCCUUCUUAUGUUCUUUCACACUUUUGCAGUUCUGGUCAUUCUUCGCGCAAUUGUUGUAGCACACUUGGCUGAAUUUUGACUGCAUAGAACUUAUCUAUUGUCCCAGUUGUCGAUGCAUUAUUCUCUGCAGUCUGAUUUUUGCUACUAUGUCGACGGUUUUGUAGAGAGACUCUACUUUCUCUUACAUCAUUUUGUGCUAACUCCUUUCCAUCCUUUUCUAUUUAGUUUGUUUAUUACUGUUGGUGUUGUUAUUACUACUAAUUGAUCAUCUUUUUCUUUAGUUACUUUUUCUAACCUUUCUUUGUCAUGUUGAUUUCUUGCAGUGCUUUCGCCUUUAUUUACAGAUGGUUGUACUUUGGAACUUGCGUAUGAAUUUAAUGUUAGCUGCAGUGGAUGCUUGUUUGACUAUCAUACACCUAAUUGACACUACAAGAUUUUAUUUCUUAUGGUGUUUAACAAAUUAUUUAUUUUUCUAAAAUUAUUGAUAAAAAGGUAACUGUUUUAGGUCAUAUUCAAAUAAUAUCUUUUUCAUAUCUUUAUUUCUCCUAUGAACUUUAUCUUUAAAAUAAUUUAUACUUGUAACUGAUGACACUUUUGAUUUGUAUUCAUCUUUUUAUUUUUUAUUUUUUAUUUUUUAUUUUUUUAUAAUACUUUUUAUUAUACAUUUACUGUUUUAUUAUUUUUUUUUUCUUCGUUGCUGCUUCCUUCUUCGUUUUCUCUUACAAAUCAACCCACCGGAACAUGCGGAUCCUUACACUCUGUUUGGUUGGGGGUUAAAGGGGGGAUAAGAGGGUUAUCCCAGUUAUCCCCCUCUUUAACCCCAAACAAGAUUUUAGGGGUUAGCUAACCCCACUUCCCCCCAAGAAUAGGGGUGGAUUAAAGUUAAUCCCACCCCUAUUUAAUUUUUAAUAUAAUUUUAAAAUUUUAAUUUUAAAUAAAAAAUUUAAAAAAUUUUUAAUUUGCAAUCUUAAAAUUAAUAUUAAUAUUUUUAAAUUUUAAAUUUUAAAUUUUAAAUUUUAAAUUUUAAAUUUUAAAUUUUAAAUUUUAAUUUUAAUUAUUUAAAAUUUAAAUUUGACAUUUUAUAUUUGAAAAUUUGAAAAUGUUUAAUUUGUAAUAUUAAAAGUAAUAUUUAUAUUUUUAAAUUUUAAUUUUUAAAUUUAAUUUUUAAUUUUUAAAUUUUAAAUUUUAAUUUUUAAUUUUUAAAUUAUAUUUUUAAAUUAUUUAUAAUUUUAAAUUUAAUUAUUUUAUAUUUAAAUUUAAAAAUUAUAAUUUGUAAUCUUAAAUAUAUAUUUAUAUUUUAAUUUUAACUUUUAAUUUAAACUAUUAGUUUUAAUUAUUUAAAUUUAUUUUAUUAGAUUUGAUUUAAAUUUAUAACUUUAAAUUUUAAAUUUGAGAUUUAAAAAUAAAUUUUUAUUUUGAAUUUUUUAAUUUUAAAAGUUAAAAUUUUUAAAUAUAAAAUAAAAUUUUAAAUUCAAAUAUAAAAUAUUAGACAAAAUCAUUAUUUUCUAUUUAUUACUAGGGUGGCAAUCCAGCUCGCUGUUCGCGAGCCAGCUCGUGUUCGGCUCGAAAUGAGCUCGAGAUCGAAUCGCUCAUUUAGUAAACAAGCCGAACACGAGCUGAAUUUUUCAACUCGUUUAAUAAAGGAGCCGAACACGAGCUGGGGUCAGCUCGCUCUGUUCGGCUCGAUAACAGCUCGAAUACAUAUAUUUAUAUUUAUAUAAUUUAUUUAAUUUAUAUUUUUAUAUAUAAAUAAAUAAUUAUAUAUUUUUAUUAUUUAAUUUUUAGCAAAAUAAAAAUAUAAAUGCAAAGAUUAUGUCAUGCCCCGGGGUCCCUUUUAGUUUGAAACACAGCUUUCCUUUUAGUUUGAAACACAGCGGAAAAGCGUCUAUUUUUUUUUUUUUUUAAAAAAAAAGCCUAACCCCAAGAUAUGCCAGAUCCGCUACAAAUACAGAAAAUUCACUGUUUACACGGACAGAGUCUCCCCUAUAUUUGCAUGGCGUCGCACAAGUACACAAGUACAAACAGAGUAUAACCAGGAUACAACCACAAUACAUGAAUAUACAAUACUCAACAUUCGUUCACCAUUCACCAGAUAUUUACCAUUCAGUGUUUAAACAUAAAAGCCACGAGAAAACUCUUUUGAAAGCUGUUUUCCACACGGAAACCUUUUUUUUUUUAAACACGCUACCAUGAGGGGUAGAAAACUAUUUUUCCUUUUUACAAAAUCCACGAGUUCUAUAGUUUAUUCCAAAUCACAUGAAUUCGAAUAAUAUAAACCAACUGAACCAUGAAAUAUUAAAGCUAUUAAUAACAAAAGUAAACAGGGUAGGAACUAAACCAACAAACUAGGUCGGAAGCUCUAGCGACCACUACGAACGUGUCUCACGUCUCGUCUCAACUCUCACCGCCCGCGAUACNAGAACUAAACAACAGUACGGGUCAGUAGAAAAUACAGUAGCAAUAAUAAUGAAUGAAAGAGACAUAUAUAUGAAAGAAAGUACAACUACCGCUACUGUAAUGAACAACUGAAUAUAUACAUGUAACAAGGCUAUAGUAGCAAGACAAUGUAACCAAAGAACUGAAGGUAUAUAAGCGACAAUCGCUACUAUAGUUAUAUGUGUCAACCAGACGAUAAGUCCAAAAUACCCAAUCUGUAAUGGCCGUAUUGGUACGCAACACCUCAGGCCUAUGCCACAUCUACUCUGACAGAAACAAGCCAUAUUGGUACCCAACACCUCAGGCUGAAAGCAUAUAACCCCUCUGGGGCUCACGGGUUGACACAAGCAACCACUUUUCCAGAAAAGAACACUGCUUGCGGUGGAUCAGACCGCCAGUGUUCGUGAAAUGCGACGAGUAUCGGGCGGUCAAUGCUGAUAUGCUUAAAGGCCAAACGUCAGCAACCAGCCGACAAUCUUGCCCACAGGGCUCAUCGACCGUAUAGGUCAUCAACUGUAAGGAAGCACAAGAACUAACCACUCAGGUCAACUAGGAUGGGACAACAUCAACAUCCUCUCAAACAUAUGCAAAUACUGCUCAAUGAACCACGAGGACUGACCACUCAGGUCAACUAGGAUAUAUGCACAACGAAUCAACGAAUGGGUCAUCAGGGUGUAUCAAUAGAAUCCAGAACUACCGUCGGCCACUAGCCAACAAUCCAACCCCUCUAGGGUACAUCGACCACGACGGUCAUCGAACGACAGAAGUCAAGGAACCGACCGAAUGUGUUACAAAUACGAGAUACCAGAACAGAUCAACCAGGUCACCGAUACGAAGUACAAGAAUCGACCUACCAAGUCACUGAUAUAAAGUACAAGAAUCGACCUACCAAGUCACUGAUAUGAAGUACAAGAAUCGAUCAACCAGGUCAACAAAUACGCACAUAGAUAGAACCACUCCACUCAUACUCAGGAUACUAAGCAUGCAAACAACGAGUAGAGUAUAAUGGAAUAACAUGAGUGCAAGGCUCAAUAUAUACUAUGCAAUAAUAACAACAGAAGAGUAAGGGUAAGAAACCAUCACCGAGCGUGCACCAUUGUACCGACGUCGGAUCGAAGUACCCACCUGUACGUAUAUAAAACUGGUCUCUCGACUGCGGAGACGGAGCAACCGAACCUACGAAAGGUCCAACGGGUUAGGAUCUAACCCACUGACAUGUAACGCUAACUCACAACCCCCAAUCAUAGCCCCACGGAAUCGGUUUCCCAAAACCGAUUACCGAACAUGCCGGAAGUCCCGAAAACCUCACCGGAACUUCACUGUCGCUCACCCGUCAUUUUCGAACCUUCAAAACGAUGGGGGUAACCAGCCAACAAGGCUCAGCGACGUCGCAAAUAAUCACCAAGUACCGUCGGAAGAAUUCUGAACCGAAACAGCGUUCUAUCAGCGGAUUUCGCCGAGAAACGCAUCGGAAAUCACUUUUCGAUUUCCGCAAGGGUUUGGGGCCUUGGACAAUCAGUCCAGAGGUUAUCCUCAGCCCAAACAUGCUGCCGACAGCAGCUACAUUGAAGCAAAAAGCAUAAAAGCCCGUACCGAUACAUAAAAUCACAUCAUUUUAUGUGAUUUCUGAGCUUUUAUGGGUCGUGCACGUAAACCAGAGGUCGAUUGAUCAGACCGUCGCACUCGCUGCUAGGUUUCAGCAUGUCGGAGGCUGUGCUCACAUUUCGGAGCACUGCCGGCCACUGUGGCACGCGCACGAGCGACGCGAAAACCUGUGAAACAGCGCGCACAGCGCCAAGAUCGCAAUUAACUCGUUAACCAGGGCAUCCUUGCCCCUGCCGGAGGUGAGCACGAUGUUCAGCACGAACCCUAGAUCAUCGUGCUCACUUCUCGGGGUGUCGGGGAGUCAUCGGAUCACCGGAAAGGUGGCCGAAAAGCUAAACUACUAUGCUGGAACCUAAAAACAGCAUACCAGAGCAGUGGGAGCUAGGGUUGGCCUCCGGCGGCCGGACGGCGAGCACUCCGGCCGGGAAUGGGAGUAGUCGGUCCGAGAGGUCCGGGGAGGGUGCUGGCCGGCGGCGGGCGGCAACCGGUGGCGCGGCGGAGGAGAUCAAAUCCGUGCACUAACUCACGGGUUCAAGGUUUCCCGGCGGCGAGGCGGCGGCCGGAGGAGGUCGGGGCGGCGACGAUCCGGCGCCGGAGGCCGAGGGGAAGGUGGUGCACCCCCCGGUGGGCGGCGGC